Molecule: ribosomal RNA, 253 nt
Filed under: uncultured bacterium
Lineage: Bacteria
Description: partial 16S ribosomal RNA
Rfam family: Bacterial small subunit ribosomal RNA
Source: RNAcentral
UACGUAGGGUGCAAGCGUUGUCCGGAAUUAUUGGGCGUAAAGAGCUCGUAGGCGGUUUGUUGCGUCGGCUGUGAAAACCUGAGGCUCAACCUCAGGCCUGCAGUCGAUACGGGCAGACUAGAGUUCGGUAGGGGAGACUGGAAUUCCUGGUGUAGCGGUGAAAUGCGCAGAUAUCAGGAGGAACACCGGUGGCGAAGGCGGGUCUCUGGGCCGAUACUGACGCUGAGGAGCGAAAGCGUGGGGAGCGAACAGG